This 527-nucleotide ribosomal RNA is filed under the name uncultured bacterium. RNAcentral describes it as "bacterial SSU rRNA". It matches the Rfam family "Bacterial small subunit ribosomal RNA", at positions 8 to 526 of the family's 1533-position model. The record is from RNAcentral.
AGAGUUUGAUCCUGGCUCAGAUUGAACGCUGGCGGCAGGCCUAACACAUGCAAGUCGAACGGUAACACAGAGAGCUUGCUCUUGGGUGACGAGUGGCGGACGGGUGAGUAAUGUCUGGGAAACUGCCCGAUGGAGGGGGAUAACUACUGGAAACGGUAGCUAAUACCGCAUAACGUCGCAAGACCAAAGUGGGGGACCUUCGGGCCUCACACCAUCGGAUGUGCCCAGAUGGGAUUAGCUAGUAGGUGGGGUAAUGGCUCACCAAGGCGAUGAUACAUAGCCGACCUGAGAGGGUGAUCGGCCACAUUGGGACUGAGACACGGCCCAAACUCCUACGGGAGGCAGCAGUAGGGUAUCUUCGGCAAUGGACGAAAGUCUGACCGAGCAACGCCGCGUGAGUGAAGAAGGUUUUCGGAUCGUAAAGUACUUUCAGCGAGGAGGAAGGCAUUAAGGUUAAUAACCUUAGUGAUUGACGUUACUCGCAGAAGAAGCACCGGCUAACUCCGUGCCAGCCGCCGCGGUAAUAC